UACGAAGGGGGCUAGCGUUGCUCGGAAUUACUGGGCGUAAAGCGCACGUAGGCGGCUUUCUAAGUCGGGGGUGAAAUCCUGGAGCUCAACUCCAGAACUGCCUUCGAUACUGGAGAGCUUGAGUCCGGGAGAGGUGAGUGGAACUGCGAGUGUAGAGGUGAGAUUCGUAGAUAUUCGCAAGAACACCAGUGGCGAAGGCGGCUCACUGGCCCGGUACUGACGCUGAGGUGCGAAAGCGUGGGGAGCAAACAGG
RNAcentral lists this ribosomal RNA (253 nucleotides) under uncultured bacterium. Its description in RNAcentral is "partial 16S ribosomal RNA". It matches the Rfam family "Bacterial small subunit ribosomal RNA", at positions 524 to 776 of the family's 1533-position model. The record is from RNAcentral.